Molecule: ribosomal RNA, 119 nt
Filed under: Pteropus alecto (black flying fox)
Lineage: Eukaryota; Metazoa; Chordata; Mammalia; Chiroptera; Pteropodidae
Source: RNAcentral
AUCUACUGCCAUACCACCCUGAACAAGCGCGAUCCUGUCUGAUCUCUGAAGCUAAACAGAGUUGGGCCUAGUUAGUACUUGGAUGGGAGGCCACCUAGGAAGACCAGGUGCUAUAGGCA